AAAAGUUUCCGCGGGAGCCGCACGGAACAGGAUGCGGCUGAGAGGCAUAUUCGCCGACCGCUUACCUGAUGCGGGUCAUGCCGUCGGAGGGAGGACAUACUGUGGUCAC
Molecule: non-coding RNA, 109 nt
Filed under: Cutibacterium acnes
Lineage: Bacteria; Bacillati; Actinomycetota; Actinomycetes; Propionibacteriales; Propionibacteriaceae
Description: Propionibacterium acnes TPP sequence
Rfam family: TPP riboswitch aptamer (THI element)
About the family: Vitamin B(1) in its active form thiamin pyrophosphate (TPP) is an essential coenzyme that is synthesised by coupling of pyrimidine and thiazole moieties in bacteria. The previously detected thiamin-regulatory element, thi box was extended, resulting in a new, highly conserved RNA secondary structure, the THI element, which is widely distributed in eubacteria and also occurs in some archaea.
Source: RNAcentral